This 171-nucleotide non-coding RNA is filed under the name uncultured Gemmiger sp. RNAcentral describes it as "Lysine riboswitch". It matches the Rfam family "Lysine riboswitch aptamer". From Rfam's summary of the family: Riboswitches are metabolite binding domains within certain messenger RNAs that serve as precision sensors for their corresponding targets. Allosteric rearrangement of mRNA structure is mediated by ligand binding, and this results in modulation of gene expression. This family includes riboswitches that sense lysine in a number of genes involved in lysine metabolism, including lysC. Lineage: Bacteria; Bacillati; Bacillota; Clostridia; Eubacteriales; Oscillospiraceae. The record is from RNAcentral.
CAGAGGCGCGGUUUUCAUUAGUAUCCGUAGGGUCUGUAAAGUCUGCCAGGGCGGUUGCCCACGGAGAAAGGGACAACCGCCGAAGGCGAUGCACGGCACGCAUCGUUCCUGGGCCCGCGGCCGAAAAGGCUCGGGACUGUCAUACCGUCUGUACGGUAUGUUGCGCUGUGU